ACCGAAUUAACAAUUUAGUGGACUAAAGAGUUCCAUUUUAAAGCACAGUGGGAGCCGUUUGGCUUCAUGUUGAAGCUCCCAGCCUUACCUUAGUUUAGUUUAGCUCGCUAGCUAAGGCACGUUAAUGUAUUCCGAUUGUUUUGGUUUAACGCCACUUGCCCGCUUCCAAUUUGCAAACUUGGUUUUCAGGAAAAGUAGAUCGGUUAACUUGAGAGUGAUUACAUUUAAUUAUACAAGACCCUUCUCGACUUGACUUGAAGAUGCCUCAAAUUACUACUGACUGAAGGCCAACGCAAUCCCAAACAUCAAGUCAAAGGGUAGAUAUGGAAAAAAAAGGAGAUGGAAUCCAGGUCACGAAAAAAAAACAAAAGAAAAUGAGGGGGCGUUACAGUAGGGGGGCAGUGCCUACCCAUGGACACGCUCUGCUCACCCAAAGACAACUGGAUGUUGUCCUAACGGCAGUCUGGUAUGGGGCGCCGUUUGUAAAGCAGCACAUGUUGAAAAUAGGGAAUGGGACGUACUACGUCAUUGUUUGGACACGCCUCCAUGCUGAUAAUAUACAGUGGUACCUCUACAUACGAAUUUAAUUCGUUCCAGGACCUUGUUUGUAAGUCGAAAUGGUCGUAUGUCGAGCAGGAUUUUCCCAUAGGAAUACAUUAUAAUUCCAUUAAUUCGUUCCAAAGCCUAAAAACAUACACUAAAUUCUUAAUAAAUACUGCUGGCACUGUUACAAAUGGCAAUUAAACAUAGAAAAACAUAAUUUAUAAAUAAAUAAUUCAGAAUAAUAUAAUAAUAAGAAGAAUAAUUAAUAAUUAUUCCUGUAAAUAAUGUAACGAAUCGGAUUCUAAUAUGGCGGACAGUUUUUACUGUCCCUGAACGCACCGCGAAGCUGACGUCUCAGUGAGAUAGGUCAGUGCGGUAGAGAUAAUACUUUCGUUUUCUUGAGAGCAGUCAACUGCUUAAGACAAUGGGCGUUUUGUGUUGGAUAAGUUCUUAAAUAAAUGAUAAAAACGUGACGAAGCUGGCGAUUUCCUUGGCAAUGUUACCACAAUAAUAAUUGUCACCUUAACUUAUAAAUAGUGGCGAACGGUGGUCGGAAGAGGACCAUGGAGCUGUAUUGUUGAGCCAGUUCAGGGACGCGCACCCCAAGCUCAUAUUUUUCUAUAACUUGCAUCUUUAUUUCAAAGGUAAGCAUCACUUUUUUCCUUGUUUCUCCAACUGUAUCAACUUUUUUUGAAAACUGUGUUGAUUUCUCACACAAGAAAAUCCACCGUGCGUUCGUUUGCAGUGCUGUCAUGUCGUCGUAUUUCGAGCAACUCGUCGGAUUUAGAAACAAAUGGCGGCUCAAAUUUUACGUCGGAUGUCGAAAAGAUCGUGUGUCGAAGUGAUCGUAUGUAGAGGUACCACUGUACUUUACUUCCAGUCCGCCAAACUCAACAGGGAUUGUAACGUGUGGUAGUGCUAAGCUAAUUCCUUCGGUGUAUUAGAAAGAAAUUAUGGGUGUGUAUUGUUGUGUUACCGGGUGCAACAGCGUCUCCCACCCACGACAAAAAAGGGCAAGGAAAACUAGACUCGCUUUUCACCGUUUUCCUGCAUGGAGGACCAAAUAUCAGAUCACGAAGGCACGACGGAUGGCUUGGGUCGCAGCGGUUCGUCGGAAAAGCAUUUCUUUUGAUCAUAUUUCUGCUGGAAUGAGAGUGUGUUCCCGUCAUCUCUACUCUUGUAAACCUGCAUAUGAAAUGCUGACAACACAUCCCGAUCGGUCACCGUCUGUCUUCUUGAAUUAUUUGACAAAGAAAUUUGUUCCAUUUGUCUUGUGUCGGACUCAAACAAGCCCCUACAGCAGACGCCAUCUGGGUCUGCCCUUCUUGUCAAUGGACUGCGGGCUUAUAACUUGUGAAAAUGCAAGAACUUAAAUGCACAUAUUUAUUCUGCCUGGUUAACUAAGGCCAGUGAUUUUUUUUUUUUUAACCACUUUGACAAAGACACGUUUCAUUGUAAUAUUAUAUAUACUCUAUUAUUUCUUUAUAAUAUAUUCUUGUUUGCUCUAAUGUAGACUUUAGACUGUGAAUUCAAAUAGUGUUGGAAAAGUUGCAAUACCUAAAAUAGAAAUGCAAAAACUGUAAUGUACAUUAGGAGUGGGAACCUCAAGGCACCUCACGAUACGAUACGCGAUACAAGGCUCACGAUAACGAUUAUCUCACGAUAUCACGAUACAGCAAAUAUCGAUAUAUUGGUCAGAAAUUUGAUACAUGAUAUUCUACGAUACAAUUGUUGAAACGAAAAAGUACUGUUUAAAUCAUUUAUUAAACAGUGACACCUUUUCAGUGCAACAUUGCUGUAAAAUAUAAAUCUACUGAUAAUUGUGUACCUGCACAUACUGUACAGAGGAAACAAACCACAACCACUGAUACUUCUUGUAGAAAUCAUGAUGAAUGGCACCCUUAAUUUCUUAAGUUUUAAAUCUUUUGAAAAUUUUAACAGUGUUGUAAGUCAGGGGUCCCCAACCUAUUCCACUAAGGCACACUGUGGGUGCAGGAUUUCAUUCUUACCAAACAAGAUGACAACACUUUUUCCCCAAUCUGGUGUUUUACAAGUGCAAUCAGUUGAUUGCAGUCAGGUGUGGCUUGUUUUAGCAGAAGCCUCAUUGGUUCAACUGUCUCUGCUGGAUCGGCUGGAACAAAAACCAGGACCCACAGUGUGCCUUGAGGACUGGGUUGAAAACCCCUGUUGUAAGUGACAGUCAGCAGUUGAUCUUGGAGUGGGGCAAUGAUAAAAUUGGUGGGUGUUUUCUUUGUAUAUGAGCUUUGUUGUCAAAAGCUCUGCUUCAGCAUUUGAGAUGUCAGACUCAGUCAGUUACAUUCUUCCUCACCUUAAAAACAACAAAAUAAAAAAAUAUUAAGCUUUUGAGUUGAAAUCCUGAUUUUUUUUGUGUGUGUUGGAAGUCUUGAGUGAAUUAAAAAAAUAUGAGUUGAAUGUAUAGAAAUUAAAAAUGCACUAAUUACCUAUUUUUAAUAUGUAGGUUACAUUAAUUAUCAUACAUGUCACCUUAUAUAUCUUGGAAGCUAUUCAAACCGUUUUUAUAGCUUAUUGUAUCAAAAUGGCAGUCAUAACAGUUUAUGUAGUAAACUAGAUGGAAAGUGGUUCUCAAUAUCAAAUAAAUCAGUAAAUUCAUGUAUGCUUAUUCGCUAUUCAUUUUCAUCCAGUUUAGGGUCCUGGUUGAUUUUGUGUCUUUCAACACCAAAUGUCAUAAAAAUAAUACAUUUAAAUUAAAAAAUCAAUUACUAGUACAUUGCAAAACUUUCUUA
Molecule: RNA transcript, 3308 nt
Organism: Corythoichthys intestinalis (scribbled pipefish)
Lineage: Eukaryota; Metazoa; Chordata; Actinopteri; Syngnathiformes; Syngnathidae
Gene name: gastrula zinc finger protein XlCGF8.2DB-like
Exons: 3
Source: RefSeq, a predicted model, not a curated record